Molecule: ribosomal RNA, 468 nt
Filed under: uncultured bacterium
Lineage: Bacteria
Description: partial 16S ribosomal RNA
Rfam family: Bacterial small subunit ribosomal RNA
Source: RNAcentral
GACGAACGCUGGCGGCGUGCUUAACACAUGCAAGUCGAACGGAAAGGCCCUGCUUUUUUGGGGUGCUCGAGUGGCGCACGUGUGAGUAACACGUGAGUCACCUUCCCUUGACUUUGGGAUAACUUCAGGAAACUGGGGCUAAUACCUGCUAGGAGCUCCUGCUGCAUGGUGGGGUUUGGACAGUUUCGGCGGUUGGGGAUGGACUCGCGGCUUAUCAGCUUGUUGGUUGGGUAGUGGCUUACCAAGGCUUUGACGGGUAGCCGGCCUGAGAGGGUGACCGGGCACAUGGGGACUGAGAUACGGCCCAGACUGCUACGGGAGGCAGCAGGGGGGAAUAUUGCACAAUGGGCGGAAGCCUGAUGCAGCAACGCCGCGUGCGGGAUGACGGCCUUCGGGGUGUAAACCGCUUUCGCCUGUGACGAAGCGGGAGUGACGGUAAUGGGUAAAGAAGCACCGGCUAACUACGUG